Oreochromis aureus is the source of this 1044-nucleotide long non-coding RNA. RefSeq lists it as uncharacterized. The record is from RefSeq and is a predicted model, not a curated record. NCBI's taxonomy places the organism in Eukaryota, Metazoa, Chordata, Actinopteri, Cichliformes, Cichlidae. The transcript has 3 exons.
CUGAAUUUUGCGGUCCCCACGUUACCUAUUCCCCUCCCCCACAGACACUCAGCACGAGGAGCCAUUUUGGAUGGAGCAAAGCCAUUUUAAUUUCUGCAGAGACUGAUUACAUGAUGGAAACCAGGCCCUUUGGUCACAACAACAUGGUGGACAGAGUCAGAGGGUGAUACUCCUGUGAAAGGAGCUUCACAGAAGAGAGGCUGGUCUGCAGCAGAGACUCUUGCUGUAGAAAAAAAUGAGAAAAGGUUCAUAGAAGGUGGCAAAGUUCCUGGUAAGGUGGAUUGUAUUGCGUGUAUUGAAUCUUCACCAAAAGAACUUGAACAAAGGACGUGGAAAGCAGUUAAGGUCUAUGUCACAAACAGAAUCGGAGCACUGAGGCACCAGAGUGCUGAAAGACUUUACGUUUUGGUUUAAAACACACAGUUGCACGUUUCAGUGCUGUUUUUUCAUGUUUCAUGUUGAAGCUCAUAUUUAGUUUACCCUCGGCUGGCCCAGUGUAAACUAAAUUGAGUACUUUACAUAUUUGUGCACAACGGCACUUUUCAUUUCAUUAUGGAUUGUAGGAAGGUCAGUACAAGACAAAAUAAUAAUGUGAAUUGCUUUUUUUACAUUAUAAAACAUUUGGAUAAAUGGAAUACUUGGGAUUUUUUGUUUAGAAAUAAACAAUCACUGCCCCAUUUGCAGUUUUUUGUUUUUGUUUUGUUUAUUAGGUGAUGGGAUAUAUGCCAUGACAUUUUGCUGCCAUGCAAAAUGUCUUGUGUUUUAAAUAAAGAGCUUAAACACAGAAAAAUGUUGUUUGGAUUGAGAAAUUUAACUGUGUUUGAGGUACACUAUCACCAUAGCUGCUGUAGUAUUAUAGCUGUUCUGUUUAACAUGGUAGGAAAUGUUAAUAAUUUGUGGUAAAAAGUAAAAUUGCUAAUUUAAAUAGGAGGGUCCCCACAGGAAUAGCAAAAUUCAGGUCAUUUUUUUCAUGUGAGUGUUUUUAAUAUAUCAAGUGAUUUUCCUCUUCACAAAAAAUUUACAUGAAUUUAGCAAUUAAAAUCA